UUUGUUUUUUAAGUUUUAUUAUUUGGUAUUGCAUAUCAGUAGAAGUUUUUAUCAUAGCUAUGAGUAAUAGAAUUAAAAUGGUUAAAUUGAAUUUGUUUUUUUUUUACGAAAUUAAUAAUAUUUUUAUUUAGUAUUGAUAUAACGUAUUUUUAUUUCUGUUUAUUUGUCAUUUAUAGGUUAAGUUAUAUUAUUUUUUGUUUGUAAAUUUUUAAAUUUUUGUUGUUGUUUUGUAAAUGUUGUGUGUUUUACAUAGAUUUUUAUUUUUUUUUUUUUUUUUUUUUUUGAUUAAUUUUUUAAUUGAUUUAUGAUUUUUACUUUAGUAAUUUUUAUUGUUUUGAUAGGUUUGUUUUUGAAUUUAUGUUUUUGAACUGGUUUUGUUGCUAAAUGUUUAUUAAAAACUUAGGUUUUUAUGUAAAAUUGUCUUCUGCUCUAUGAGUUUUUAAAUGGCAGCCUUAGCGUGAUGGCAUAAAAGUAGCGUAAGUGAUUUGUUUUUUUAAUGGUUUCAAGUAUGAAUGAAGUUUUUAGCAGCUUUUUUAUUUACUUUUUGUUUGAAUUAUUUUUUUAAUUAAAAAUUAUUAGUUAAGGUAUUACAAAGAUAAGUCUUCGGAAAUUUUGUUUUGAAUUUUGAAAUUUUUAUUUUUAAUUUUUUCUUGGGGAUGGAUUUUAAGAAAGUUUUAUACUAUUGUUAUUAUUAAAAAUUACUCCGGAGUUAACAGGGUUGUAGACAUAUAAAUAGGUUUUUAUAUUAGUGUGCUGCGCUACAUCGAUGUUGUAUAUUUUUUUUGAUAAUGGAGAGGUUUUUUUUUGUUUUGAGACUGUUCUUCUUGUAUAAAAAAUUGACUUGAUAUUAGUUUAGUUCGUCGUGAGACAGAGCGGUUUAUCUUGUGUAUUUUUGGUGCUUGGCGGUGUUAGUACGAAAGGAAUGCAAUGUGGGUUUAUAUUUAUGACUUUUUUAUUUUGAUGGAUUUUUU
Molecule: ribosomal RNA, 971 nt
Filed under: Onchocerca volvulus
Lineage: Eukaryota; Metazoa; Nematoda; Chromadorea; Rhabditida; Onchocercidae
Description: 16S ribosomal RNA
Source: RNAcentral